This 115-nucleotide transfer RNA is filed under the name Bacteroidales bacterium. RNAcentral's name for it is "tRNA-OTHER". It matches the Rfam family "tRNA". Rfam says of the family: Transfer RNA (tRNA) molecules are approximately 80 nucleotides in length. The record is from RNAcentral. Lineage: Bacteria; Pseudomonadati; Bacteroidota; Bacteroidia; Bacteroidales.
GAUCCGGUAGCUCAGUUGGUAGAGUAAAUAGCUCUGUGCUGAAAUUUCCUCUCUACUGUAGGCCAAUUAGCGCAUACUACCUAUUGUGUCGUCGGUUCGAUUCCGACCCGGAUCC